UGGGGGAUAUUGCACAAUGGGGGGAACCCGUCGAUGCAGCGACGCCGCGUGUAGGAAGACGGUCCUCUGGAUUGUAAACUACUGUCUUCAGGGACGAUAAUGACGGUACCUGAGGAGGAAGCUCCGGCUAACUACGUGCCAGCAGCCGCGGUAAUACGUAGGGAGCGAGCGUUGUCCGGAAUUACUGGGUGUAAAGGGAGCGUAGGCGGGUCAGCAAGUCCGUUGUUAAAUCUAUCGGCUCAACCGGUAGCUGCGGCGGAAACUGUUGGUCUUGAGUGAAGUAGAGGCAGGCGGAAUUCCUAGUGUAGCGGUGAAAUGCGUAGAUAUUAGGAGGAACACCAGUGGCGAAGGCGGCCUGCUGGGCUUUACUGACGCUGAGGCUCGAAAGUGU
RNAcentral lists this ribosomal RNA (391 nucleotides) under uncultured Hydrogenoanaerobacterium sp. RNAcentral's name for it is "bacterial SSU rRNA". It matches the Rfam family "Bacterial small subunit ribosomal RNA", at positions 355 to 762 of the family's 1533-position model. The record is from RNAcentral. Lineage: Bacteria; Bacillati; Bacillota; Clostridia; Eubacteriales; Oscillospiraceae.